RNAcentral lists this ribosomal RNA (421 nucleotides) under uncultured bacterium. RNAcentral describes it as "partial 16S ribosomal RNA". It matches the Rfam family "Bacterial small subunit ribosomal RNA", at positions 361 to 775 of the family's 1533-position model. The record is from RNAcentral.
AUUUUGGACAAUGGGGGAAACCCUGAUCCAGCCAUCCCGCGUGUAUGAUGAAGGCCUUCGGGUUGUACCGUACUUUUGGCAGAGAAGAAAAGGUACCUCCUAAUACGAGGUACUGCUGACGGUAUCUGCAGAAUAAGCACCGGCUAACUACGUGCCAGCAGCCGCGGUAAUACGUAGGGUGCAAGCGUUAAUCGGAAUUACUGGGCGUAAAGGUUGUGUGGGCGUUUCGGAAAGAAAGAUGUGAAAUCCCAGGGCUCAACCUUGGAACUGCAUUUUUAACUGCCGGGCUAGGGUAUGUCGGAGGGGGGUAGAAUUCCACGUGUGGCAGUGAAAUGCUUGAAUAUGUGGAGGAAUCCCGAUGGCAAAGGCAGCCCCCUGGAUAAUACUGACGCUCAGACACGAAAGCGUGGGGAGCAAACAG